This 70-nucleotide transfer RNA is filed under the name Alosa alosa (allis shad). RNAcentral's name for it is "tRNA-OTHER". Lineage: Eukaryota; Metazoa; Chordata; Actinopteri; Clupeiformes; Clupeidae. The record is from RNAcentral.
GUCGUGGCCUACUGGUUAGGGCUUCGGGCUUGUAACCGGAGGGUUGCCGGUUCGAUCAUGGAGUUGGACC